Aquila chrysaetos chrysaetos is the source of this 272-nucleotide long non-coding RNA. RefSeq lists it as uncharacterized. NCBI's taxonomy places the organism in Eukaryota, Metazoa, Chordata, Aves, Accipitriformes, Accipitridae. The record is from RefSeq and is a predicted model, not a curated record. The transcript is spliced from 3 exons.
AGUCCUUCAGGCACAGACUGCUCCAGCAUGGGCUUUCCCAGGAGAAUAAGGGAAUAAAAGGGGGGCGGGGGGAAUGCAAAUCUCCAGGGAAGAAGUAAAAGCGGAGCAAUAAUAAACUCCAGAUAAAAUUCUUCUGGGAUAAGUGGCCAAAGUAGGCAUGGUGAGGGGAAAUGAUAAGGCCUGAUAUUUUGAUGCACCCUUCAUCCAAAGCACUUCCUAGUCAUCGCUGACUUAAAAAGAGGCAGCAUAUGAGAUGGGCAAUGUGUGGCUGG